AUCGCUUCUCGGCCUUUUGGCUAAGAGCACCUGAGGGGAAAAAAAAUAAUAAUCUGUUCUUAUCAGUUUAAUAUCUGAUACGUCCCCUACCCGGGGACCAUAUAUUAAAUUGAUUUUUGGAACUGGGAGAUGGAAUAGGGGCUUGCUCCGUCCACUCCACGCAUCGACCUGGUAUUGCAGUACCUCCAGGAACGGUGCACUUCCC
This is a small nuclear RNA of 205 nucleotides. Its record names the gene U2. It matches the Rfam family "U2 spliceosomal RNA". From Rfam's summary of the family: U2 is a small nuclear RNA (snRNA) component of the spliceosome (involved in pre-mRNA splicing). The record is from Ensembl.